This 491-nucleotide ribosomal RNA is filed under the name uncultured bacterium. RNAcentral describes it as "partial 16S ribosomal RNA". It matches the Rfam family "Bacterial small subunit ribosomal RNA", at positions 29 to 507 of the family's 1533-position model. The record is from RNAcentral.
AGUGAACGCUGGCGGUAGGCCUAACACAUGCAAGUCGAACGGCAGCACAGUAAGAGCUUGCUCUUACGGGUGGCGAGUGGCGGACGGGUGAGGAAUACAUCGGAAUCUACUUUUUCGUGGGGGAUAACGUAGGGAAACUUACGCUAAUACCGCAUACGACCUACGGGUGAAAGCAGGGGAUCUUCGGACCUUGCGCGAUUGAAUGAGCCGAUGUCGGAUUAGCUAGUUGGCGGGGUAAAGGCCCACCAAGGCGACGAUCCGUAGCUGGUCUGAGAGGAUGAUCAGCCACACUGGAACUGAGACACGGUCCAGACUCCUACGGGAGGCAGCAGUGGGGAAUAUUGGACAAUGGGCGCAAGCCUGAUCCAGCCAUACCGCGUGGGUGAAGAAGGCCUUCGGGUUGUAAAGCCCUUUUGUUGGGAAAGAAAAGCAGCAGGUUAAGACCCCGCUGUUCUGACGGUACCCAAAGAAUAAGCACCGGCUACUUCGUG